AGAGUUUGAUCAUGGCUCAGGAUGAACGCUAGCGGCAGGCUUAACACAUGCAAGUCGAGGGGUAAGGUUCUCUUCGGAGAAUACACGACCGGCGCACGGGUGAGUAACGCGUAUGCAAUCUACCUAUAACUGAAGGAUAGCCCAGAGAAAUUUGGAUUAAUACUUCAUAAUAUCAUAAUUUGGCAUCAUUUUAUGAUUAAAGCUCCGGCGGUUAUAGAUGAGCAUGCGUCCCAUUAGCUAGUUGGUAAGGUAACGGCUUACCAAGGCAACGAUGGGUAGGGGGUCUGAGAGGAUGAUCCCCCACACUGGUACUGAGACACGGACCAGACUCCUACGGGAGGCAGCAGUGAGGAAUAUUGGUCAAUGGACGCAAGUCUGAACCAGCCAUGCCGCGUGCAGGAUGACAGCGCUAUGCGUUGUAAACUGCUUUUAUACGGGAAAAAACUUUUCGACGUGUCGAGAACUGAUGGUACCGUAAGAAUAAGCAUCGGCUAACUCCGUGCCAGCAGCCGCGGUAAUACGGAGGAUGCAAGCGUUAUCCGGAUUUAUUGGGUUUAAAGGGUACGUAGGCGGAUUGGUAAGUCAGUGGUGAAAUCCUACAGCUUAACUGUAGAACUGCCAUUGAUACUGCUAGUCUUGAGUAUAGUUGAAGUGGGCGGAAUAUGUCAUGUAGCGGUGAAACGCAUAGAUAUGACAUAGAACACCGAUCGCGAAGGCAGCUCACUAAACUAAUACUGACGCUGAGGUACGAAAGCGUGGGUAGCGAACAGGAUUAGAUACCCUGGUAGUCCACGCCGUAAACGAUGAUCACUCGAUGUUGGCGAUACACAGUCAGCGUCCAAGCGAAAGUGAUAAGUGAUCCACCUGGGGAGUACGAUCGCAAGGUUGAAACUCAAAGGAAUUGACGGGGGCCCGCACAAGCGGAGGAACAUGUGGUUUAAUUCGAUGAUACGCGAGGAACCUUACCUGGGCUCAAAUGUAUAGUGACAGUCUCGGAAACGAGAUUUUUCUUCGGAACAUUAUGCAAGGUGCUGCAUGGUUGUCGUCAGCUCGUGCCGUGAGGUGUCGGGUUAAGUCCCAUAACGAGCGCAACCCCUAUUCUUAGUUGCCAGCAUGUAAUGAUGGGGACUCUAAGGAAACUGCCUACGCAAGUAGUGAGGAAGGUGGGGAUGACGUCAAAUCAGCACGGCCCUUAUGUCCAGGGCUACACACGUGUUACAAUGGUCGGUACAGAGGGCAGCCACUUGGUGACAAGGAGCUAAUCUCGAAAAUCGGUCUCAGUUCGGAUUGGAGUCUGCAACUCGACUCUAUGAAGUUGGAUUCGCUAGUAAUCGCGUAUCAGCAAUGACGCGGUGAAUACGUUCCCGGGCCUUGUACACACCGCCCGUCAAGCCAUGGAAGUUUGGGGUACCUGAAGCAGUUGAGCGAACUAUUCGUAGGCGCAGGCUGCCAAGGUAUGAUUGGUAACUGGGGUGAAGUCGUAACAAGGUA
Molecule: ribosomal RNA, 1491 nt
Filed under: uncultured sediment bacterium
Lineage: Bacteria
Description: bacterial SSU rRNA
Rfam family: Bacterial small subunit ribosomal RNA
Source: RNAcentral